CACGUAGGGGGCAAGCGUUGUCCGGAUUUACUGGGCGUAAAGCGCACGUAGGCGGAUCGUUAAGUCGGGGGUGAAAUCCUGGAGCUCAACUCCAGAACUGCCUUCGAUACUGGCGAUCUUGAGUCCGGAAGAGGUGAGUGGAACUCCUAGUGUAGAGGUGGAAUUCGUAGAUAUUAGGAAGAACACCAGUGGCGAAGGCGGCUCACUGGUCCGGUACUGACGCUGAGGUGCGAAAGCGUGGGGAGCAAACAGG
This 253-nucleotide ribosomal RNA is filed under the name uncultured bacterium. RNAcentral's name for it is "partial 16S ribosomal RNA". It matches the Rfam family "Bacterial small subunit ribosomal RNA", at positions 524 to 776 of the family's 1533-position model. The record is from RNAcentral.